Molecule: unclassified non-coding RNA, 351 nt
Filed under: soil metagenome
Description: partial contains 5.8S ribosomal RNA, internal transcribed spacer 2, and large subunit ribosomal RNA
Rfam family: 5.8S ribosomal RNA (bases 1-120)
Source: RNAcentral
GAUGAAGAACGUAGUGAAAUGCGAUAAGUAAUGUGAAUUGCAGAAUUCAGUGAAUCAUCGAAUCUUUGAACGCACAUUGCGCCCGCCAGUAUUCUGGCGGGCAUGCCUGUUCGAGCGUCAUUACAACCCUCAGGCCCCCGGGCCUGGCGUUGGGGAUCGGCGUAGCCCCCCGUGGGCACACGCCGUCCCCCAAAUGCAGUGGCGGUCCCGCCGCAGCUUCCAUCGCGUAGUAGCUAACACCUCGCGACUGGAGAGCGGCGCGGCCACGCCGUAAAACACCCAACUCUUCUGAAGUUGACCUCGAAUCAGGUAGGAAUACCCGCUGAACUUAAGCAUAUCAAUAAGCGGAGG